GUCCACGCCCUAAACGUUGAAUACUCGACCUUAGCGAUAUACAGUUAGGGUCCAAGCGAAGCGUUAAGUAUUCCACCUGGGAAGUACGUUCGCAAGAAUGAACUCAAAGGAAUUGACGGGGCCCGCACAAGCGGAGGAGCAUGUGGUUUAAUUCGAUGAUACGCGAGGAACCUUACCUAGACUUGACAUCCCUGGCAAAGCUAUAGAAAUAUAGUGGAGGUUAUCCGGGUGACAGGUGGUGCAUGGUUGUCGU
RNAcentral lists this ribosomal RNA (253 nucleotides) under uncultured bacterium. RNAcentral's name for it is "partial 16S ribosomal RNA". It matches the Rfam family "Bacterial small subunit ribosomal RNA", at positions 793 to 1055 of the family's 1533-position model. The record is from RNAcentral.